RNAcentral lists this ribosomal RNA (215 nucleotides) under uncultured Acinetobacter sp. RNAcentral's name for it is "partial 16S ribosomal RNA". It matches the Rfam family "Bacterial small subunit ribosomal RNA", at positions 305 to 521 of the family's 1533-position model. The record is from RNAcentral. Lineage: Bacteria; Pseudomonadati; Pseudomonadota; Gammaproteobacteria; Moraxellales; Moraxellaceae.
CUCCCUCGUGNGUUCUCAGACAUCCUACGGGAGGCAGCAGUGGGGAAUAUUGGACAAUGGGCGAAAGCCUGAUCCAGCCAUGCCGCGUGUGUGAAGAAGGCCUUUUGGUUGUAAAGCACUUUAAGCGAGGAGGAGGCUACUUAGAUUAAUACUCUAGGAUAGUGGACGUUACUCGCAGAAUAAGCACCGGCUAACUCUGUGCCAGCAGCCGCGGU